Unclassified non-coding RNA from Erinaceus europaeus (western European hedgehog), 332 nucleotides. Its record names the gene 7SK. It matches the Rfam family "7SK RNA". Rfam says of the family: 7SK was discovered as an abundant small nuclear RNA in the mid-70s but a possible function has only recently been suggested. Two independent studies have found that 7SK RNA binds the CDK9/cyclin T complex (known as elongation factor P-TEFb). The record is from Ensembl. Lineage: Eukaryota; Metazoa; Chordata; Mammalia; Eulipotyphla; Erinaceidae.
AGAUGUGAGGUCAGUAUGUCUUGGACAUCUGUUACCCAAUUGAUUGCCAGGAUUGAUUUGGCUGAUCUGGCUGGCUAGGUGGGUUUCCUCUUCUUCUGUCACUAUUCUAUGUGUGUCCCUCCUCAAACUGUGUGCUUGUAGAAGAGGAUGACCUUCCCUGAAUGGACUGGUCUUUGGUUGAGGGUAUAAGAGUAGCUGCAUUCCCCUGCUAGCACCUCCAAACAAGCUCUCAGAGUACCCUCUUCUUUCUGUUUUGUGUGGUUAGAGAUGAGAGAUACUUGUAUUGAGUGGUAGCAAUAAUUUGAAGGCACAGAUAACAUAAGGGAAAGUAU